Molecule: ribosomal RNA, 832 nt
Filed under: uncultured euryarchaeote
Lineage: Archaea; Methanobacteriati; Methanobacteriota
Description: bacterial SSU rRNA
Rfam family: Archaeal small subunit ribosomal RNA
Source: RNAcentral
AGAGCUAUCUGCUAUGGGGGAUAGAUUAAGUCAUGCAAGUCAAAGUAGUUUCGGCUACUUGGCGGAAUGCUGAGUAACGCGUAGAUAAUCUGCCCUACAGUCAGGGAUAAUCCCGGGAAACUGGGGCUAAACCCUGAUAGCUAUUAUUAGUUGGAAUACGGUAAUAGCGAAAGGCAACGCUGUAGGAUGAGUCUGCGUCCGAUUAGGUCGUUGUUGGGGUAAUGGCCCAACAAGCCGAGGAUCGGUAGGGGCCGUGAGAGCGGUAUCCUCCAGACGCGUACUGAGACAAGGACGCGCGCCUUACGAGGUGCAGCAGGCGCGAAAAUUGACCUAUGCACGAAAGUGUGAGUCAGUAACCCCCAGUGCCAUCCUCACGGAUGGCUUUUGUGAAGUGUAAACAGCUUUUCGAAUAAGUAGAGGGCAAGACCGGUGCCAGCCGCCGCGGUAAAACCGGCUCUACGAGUGGAUAGCGCUAUUACUGGGACUAAAGCGUCCGUAGGCGGAUUGGUGCGUUCCUCAUUAAAGACCUGGUCUUAAGCUAGGAACUCUGAGGAAUACGGCCUUUCUUGGGAACGGAAGAGGUAACCGGUACGUUUGGAGCAGGGGUGAAAUCCUAUAAUCCCAACCGGACCACCGAUGGCGAAGGCAGGUUACUAGGACGUGUCCGACGCUGAUGGACGAAAGCUAGGGUAGCGAGCCGGAUUAGAUACCCGGGUAGUCCUAGCCGUAAACGAUGGCCAUUAAGUGUUUGGGGGCUAAAAGGCCUCCAAGUGCCGAAGCGAANGCGUUAAAUGGCCCUCCUGGGAAGUACGGUCGCAAGACUGAAACUUAA